This 240-nucleotide ribosomal RNA is filed under the name Salmonella enterica. RNAcentral's name for it is "partial 16S ribosomal RNA". It matches the Rfam family "Bacterial small subunit ribosomal RNA", at positions 1 to 237 of the family's 1533-position model. The record is from RNAcentral. RNAcentral also lists the same sequence under 3 other names. Lineage: Bacteria; Pseudomonadati; Pseudomonadota; Gammaproteobacteria; Enterobacterales; Enterobacteriaceae.
AAAUUGAAGAGUUUGAUCAUGGCUCAGAUUGAACGCUGGCGGCAGGCCUAACACAUGCAAGUCGAACGGUAACAGGAAGCAGCUUGCUGCUUUGCUGACGAGUGGCGGACGGGUGAGUAAUGUCUGGGAAACUGCCUGAUGGAGGGGGAUAACUACUGGAAACGGUGGCUAAUACCGCAUAAUGUCGCAAGACCAAAGAGGGGGACCUUCGGGCCUCUUGCCAUCAGAUGUGCCCAGAUG